UGGCUAAGAUCAAGUGUAGUAUCUGUUCU
RNAcentral lists this non-coding RNA (29 nucleotides) under Callithrix jacchus (white-tufted-ear marmoset). The record is from RNAcentral. Lineage: Eukaryota; Metazoa; Chordata; Mammalia; Primates; Cebidae. RNAcentral also lists the same sequence under 4 other names.